RNAcentral lists this transfer RNA (74 nucleotides) under Ovis aries (sheep). It matches the Rfam family "tRNA". Rfam says of the family: Transfer RNA (tRNA) molecules are approximately 80 nucleotides in length. Their secondary structure includes four short double-helical elements and three loops (D, anti-codon, and T loops). Lineage: Eukaryota; Metazoa; Chordata; Mammalia; Artiodactyla; Bovidae. The record is from Rfam by way of RNAcentral.
UCCCUGACAGUCCAGCAGUUAGAACUCUGUACUUCUACUUCAGGGGGGCCUGGGUUCAAUCCCUGGUCAGGGAA